UAUGAACUGGAGGUGGACACUCAGUCAGGC
RNAcentral lists this non-coding RNA (30 nucleotides) under Mus musculus (house mouse). RNAcentral also lists the same sequence under 1 other name. The record is from RNAcentral. Lineage: Eukaryota; Metazoa; Chordata; Mammalia; Rodentia; Muridae.